GUGGGAAAUGGGAAUGAGGUAUGGAGAGCUCAUGGAACAAUGGCGAUGAUACAGCUUUUGUAUGGUGGAUACCAUGUGAUUACAAAAGUGGCACUCAAUGUGGGAAUGAAUCAAAUUGUGUUCUGUUUGUAUAGGGAUCUUCUUGCUCUAUCUAUUCUUGCACCAGUUGCCUAUGUUCGCGAAAAGAGGUCGAGGAUUCCUUUGAAUAGGCGGCUUCUGCUAUCCUUCUUCUUUCUAGGAUUAACUGGUAUUUUUGGGAACCAACUUUUGUUUCUUAUUGGUCUUGGUUACACAAAUCCAACAUAUGCUGCAGCCGUGCAACCUGCAAUACCAGUCUUCACAUUCAUAUUUGCAGUAUUGAUGGGUACAGAAACAGUGAAGCUUUUUACUGUGGAAGGUCAAGCAAAGGUUGGAGGUACGAUUGUUUGUGUUUCUGGGGCAAUCUUAAUGGCCAUCUUCCGUGGACCUGUGGUGUUUGGAGACAGAAGCUCAGAAUUCAUACACAGUGAUAUAAGUGCUAAGGGUCAGCCAGAGCCUACUGGAUGGUUAAUGUCAAGUUUCGUGGAAUUGGGUUUUGAUGAUUGGCACCUCGGUGUUUUAUGCUUAAUAGGAAACUGUAUGUGCAUGGCAGCAUACUUAGCUAUUCAGGCUCCAGUUUUGGCAAAAUACCCUGCAAGUAUAUCAGUGACGGCAUAUUCAUACCUUUUUGGUUGCCUUUUAAUGGUAGCAACAGCCUUCUUUGUGACCGAUGAGUCAACCGACUGGAACUUGACACAAUCUGAAGCUUUUGCUGUGUGCUAUGCUGGAAUUGUUGCAUCUGCCCU
This 824-nucleotide unclassified non-coding RNA is filed under the name Hevea brasiliensis (rubber tree). Lineage: Eukaryota; Viridiplantae; Streptophyta; Magnoliopsida; Malpighiales; Euphorbiaceae. The record is from RNAcentral.